GGUUGAAAUUCCAACAGAUAGAAUCAAGCAAGCACGAGCUGUGUCUGCUUCGAUCGAACACACUUCCAGUCCAUUCAUCCAGGCUGCCAAUGGUUUAGCACGAGAAGAUGCAACAGCGAGUCCUGGAAUCAAUGUCUUAUCACCGACUUCAAUUCCUAGAAGAUCCAAAUCUAGACUUGCACCAAACAUAAAUCUUGUUUCCAGUGAUGAGGCUUCCUCACGAACAGCUGAGUAAGGUAAUUGGACAAAUGCCCAUUUCUCCCCAAACAGAUUCUCAGGAAGUUCCAUUGGGAAAGGAUUAUCCAAAG
This 308-nucleotide unclassified non-coding RNA is filed under the name Hevea brasiliensis (rubber tree). Lineage: Eukaryota; Viridiplantae; Streptophyta; Magnoliopsida; Malpighiales; Euphorbiaceae. The record is from RNAcentral.